AGUGAACGCUGGCGGUAGGCCUAACACAUGCAAGUCGAACGGCAGCACAGUAAGAGCUUGCUCUUACGGGUGGCGAGUGGCGGACGGGUGAGGAAUACAUCGGAAUCUACUUUUUCGUGGGGGAUAACGUAGGGAAACUUACGCUAAUACCGCAUACGACCUACGGGUGAAAGCAGGGGAUCUUCGGACCUUGUGCGAUUGAAUGAGCCGAUGUCGGAUUAGCUAGUUGGCGGGGUAAAGGCCCACCAAGGCGACGAUCCGUAGCUGGUCUGAGAGGAUGGUCAGCCACACUGGAACUGAGACACGGUCCAGACUCCUACGGGAGGCAGCAGUGGGGAAUAUUGGACAAUGGGCGCAAGCCUGAUCCAGCCAUACCGCGUGGGUGAAGAAGGCCUUCGGGUUGUAAAGCCCUUUUGUUGGGAAAGAAAAGCAGCAGGUUAAUACCCCGCUGUUCUGACGGUACCCAAAGAAUAAGCACCGGCUAACUUCGUG
RNAcentral lists this ribosomal RNA (492 nucleotides) under uncultured bacterium. RNAcentral's name for it is "partial 16S ribosomal RNA". It matches the Rfam family "Bacterial small subunit ribosomal RNA", at positions 29 to 507 of the family's 1533-position model. The record is from RNAcentral.